RNAcentral lists this ribosomal RNA (448 nucleotides) under uncultured bacterium. RNAcentral's name for it is "SSU rRNA". It matches the Rfam family "Bacterial small subunit ribosomal RNA", at positions 26 to 518 of the family's 1533-position model. The record is from RNAcentral.
AGAACGAACGCUGGCGGCAGGCUUAACACAUGCAAGUCGAACGCUCAUAGCAAUAUGGGAGUGGCGCACGGGUGAGUAACGCGUGGGAACAUGCCCUUCAGUUCGGAAUAACAGUUGGAAACGACUGCUAAUACCGAAUAUUCCCUCCGGGGGAAAGAUUUAUCGCUGAAGGAUUGGCCCGCGUAAGAUUAGGUAGUUGGUGGGGUAAUGGCCUACCAAGCCUUCGAUCUUUAGCUGGUCUGAGAGGACGACCAGCCACACUGGAACUGAGACACGGUCCAGACUCCUACGGGAGGCAGCAGUGGGGAAUAUUGGACAAUGGGGGAAACCCUGAUCCAGCCAUGCCGCGUGAGUGAUGAAGGCCUUAGGGUUGUAAAGCUCUUUUGUCAGGGAAGAUGAUGACGGUACCUGAAGAAUAAGCACCGGCUAACUUCGUGCCAGCAGCCGC